RNAcentral lists this ribosomal RNA (513 nucleotides) under uncultured Candidatus Poseidoniales archaeon. RNAcentral describes it as "bacterial SSU rRNA". It matches the Rfam family "Archaeal small subunit ribosomal RNA", at positions 526 to 1039 of the family's 1478-position model. Lineage: Archaea; Methanobacteriati; Thermoplasmatota; Candidatus Poseidoniia; Candidatus Poseidoniales. The record is from RNAcentral.
CUGUUUAGUAAAUCCGUGGGUAAAUCAACGAGCUUAACUCGUUGACUUCUGCGGACACUGCUAGACUUGGGACCGGGAGAGGUGUGGGGUACUCAUGGGGUAGGGGUAAAAUCCUGUCAUCCCAUGAGGACCACCAGUUGCGAAGGCGCCACACUAGAACGGAUCCGACGGUCAGGGACGAAGCCUAGGGGCACGAACCGGAUUAGAUACCCGGGUAGUCCUAGGUGUAAACGCUGUGGACUUGGUGUCGGGGAUCCUCUAAGGGUUCUCGGUGCCGCAGCGAAGGUGUUAAGUCCACUGCCUGGGGAGUACGGUCGCAAGGCUGAAACUUAAAGGAAUUGGCGGGGGAGCACUGCAACGGGAGGAGCGUGCGGUUUAAUUGGAUUCAACGCCGGAAAACUCACCAGGGCCGACUGUCAAAUGAAGACCAGCGUAAUGAGCUUGUCGGAUUGUCAGAGAGGUGGUGCAUGGCCGCCGUCAGUUCGUACCGUAAGGCGUUCUGUUAAGUCAGAU